AUUUUAUGCUCUGUAAUUGGAAUGAUGGGAAUGUAAAACCCUUCCAGAGUAACAAUUGGAGGAUAAGUCUGGUGCCAGCAGCCGCGGUAAUUCCAGCUCCAAUAGUGUAUAUUAGAGUUGUUGCAGUUAAAAAGCUCGUAGUUGGAUUUCUGCUGUGGUCAUCCGGUACCGCCCGUAUGGGUGCGCACCUGGUUUGGCUCCGGCUUUCUUCCUGUAGCCGUCCGCGCUUAAUUGCGUGUACUGUGUUACGGAACUUUUACUUUGAGAAAAAUAGAGUGUUUCAAGCAGGCUUGUCGCCCUGAAUACUUCAGCAUGGAAUAAUAGGAUAGGACCUUGGUUCUAUUUUGUUGGUUUCUAGGACCAAGGUAAUGAUUAAUAGGGACAGUUGGGGGGGCA
RNAcentral lists this ribosomal RNA (396 nucleotides) under Eimeria arloingi. Its description in RNAcentral is "SSU rRNA". It matches the Rfam family "Eukaryotic small subunit ribosomal RNA", at positions 492 to 892 of the family's 1831-position model. Lineage: Eukaryota; Apicomplexa; Conoidasida; Eucoccidiorida; Eimeriidae. The record is from RNAcentral.